GGUUUGAGGCAGAGAAUCGCAGUGCCUGUAAAACCUCAUUUACCAACAUCUCAGAAAAAUUGCCAUAUAGCAUUUUGGUAUGAAACUCUUCAUAUAGUUCUGGUUGGAGAAUGUGCAUUUCCCUGAUAUGUCCACAUCAUACUCAUUUAGUAUAAGUAUGUAUUAAUUUAGUUACUAGACGUUAUCUCAAAGAGGUAUUCACAAACUGGCACCAUGUCUUUACCCCUUCCCUCCUUACUUGUGAUUUAUACUGGCAACCCUUUGGUCCAUUUAGCUGCAGUUACCUAGUUUCUUCCCACUCCUAUAAGGUCACAGUAGGUUAACAGAGUAUUACUGAUAUACAGGAUGGCAGAUUGCAGUUGUCCUUAUUCAAUCUUGUUCUGAUGGCAGCUCUGCCUCGAGGGCAGAAACAAAUGUGAAUGGUUUAUUUAAGCGAGAAAUGUGAAGGGUUAAGUUUAGACAUGUAAUCCCAAUUGUUUAAGGUUAGGGGUGAGGUUAAGGUGAGGUUCAAAGAUCAUUGAUAACUGCCUGUACCUGUUCAAAGACUGCAGACUGCGGGCCUAACUUCCCGUUCCUGUUCAAAGACUGCAGGCCUAACUUCCCGUACCUGUUCAAAGACUGCAGACUGCAGGCCUAACUGGAUGCAUGUGUUCAAAGAAGGUUAGGUAGAUAUUCUGUACUGGACGUGUACUGAGCGUGUCUCCUCAGUAUAGUCAUCGUGAGGUCUGUCUUCAGGCUAUAGCGCUGUUUAGGCGAGUCCAGUUGAUUGAUAACACAUUGUGAUGGAUCACACUGGGAUCUUUUAGGAAAGGGUUUUGAUUCCAAUUCCAUCUUGCCUAAAAGAUACCCCACCUUACACUCUGCACAUGCGCACACGGACGCACACACAGGCACGCAUGCACACGCACACACACACUUUUUAAAGAUGCGUCGGAGGGUGACGACCUUAACAGAGACACCUCCGGAAUGUUUUUCAGAGUGUGUGUAGUCGCGUCUGGAUUGGUUCAACCUGCCAUCCCUUUGCCCACUUUUUCAUUCAGUGCUGAAUCGCAGCUCUGUCUCAACUCGGAAAUAAGUCUCAGUGAAUGUCAUCUGACAAUUCUUGUUCCCUGGCCGGACUUCAAUCAAAUGAUGACGCUAACUGGAGAAAGAAGACAGUGCGUCUGCAUGCCACACCAUCAGAAAUAGCUGGUUUGCAUGUUUUCCCCUCACAUACUUCUCCUUGGGGAAAUCAACGGUGGAUUUGCGUCUGCGAAUCUGCUGCCGCUAGAUUUCUAAUCUAAUUUCACGCAGAAUGUAAUUUGUUGUGGUAGUUGCUAUUGUCGACCGACACCAUGCUGUCUAGGUCAGAUUUUUUAUAAUUUUUUUUGCUUGCAUUUCAUAUCUCUAUGAUUUAUCAGUCAAUUACAGAUGCUAUCUGACUGAAAAAGUGGACCCUAAGAUAAACAAAAUCCUAGAAGCAAAAAUAGCAGCUUAUUGGAUUUGUUUAUGAAAGGGACUAUUUGUUGGUUUAUAAGGAGACACAUUGACACACCAUUCCUACAACUACUAGCCUGGUCCCAGAUCUCUGUGCUCUUCUGACUCUUCUCCUAUGACAAGACAGCACAAACAGAUCUGGAGCCAGGCUUUACAACUACUGCUAGCCCACCAUCACCACUAGGCUACUGACUUUUGGCUUCUGCAUUAUCUCAAGAUGGCUCCCUCAGGAGAUACACAGAGUGAAGUGCUCCUGCUGUCUUUGUGAGAGAAACAGUGGAAUGUUUACGCAGCAGAAAAUCAUAUCACACAUCUCAUACUAGGAGGAUGUUUUGCAGCUUGGAGAAAUGAAAAUAGCCAUCAUCUGAUCUCCUUGUCAGGAGAGGAAAACAUUCCAAUCGGAUUCCAUCUGUGAGGACACGGCCGCUGGAGGAUUGUGACGCACGAGGUGCAAUGGAGACGCCGGGGUUGGGCGCACUCAGCUCCUGCUCAGCUGCAGUACCACAGACACCACUAGAACACGCAGCGACUCAAAACAAUAGAAAAUGUCAAUUGUUUGUGUAAAUAAAUGUUUAAACACAA
This is a long non-coding RNA of Salmo salar (Atlantic salmon), 2058 nucleotides long. RefSeq lists it as uncharacterized. NCBI's taxonomy places the organism in Eukaryota, Metazoa, Chordata, Actinopteri, Salmoniformes, Salmonidae. The record is from RefSeq and is a predicted model, not a curated record.